This 863-nucleotide ribosomal RNA is filed under the name Acinetobacter baumannii. RNAcentral's name for it is "partial 23S ribosomal RNA". It matches the Rfam family "Bacterial large subunit ribosomal RNA", at positions 315 to 1186 of the family's 2925-position model. The record is from RNAcentral. Lineage: Bacteria; Pseudomonadati; Pseudomonadota; Gammaproteobacteria; Moraxellales; Moraxellaceae.
AAGUUAUGUGUGUUUUAGUGGAACGCUCUGGGAAGUGCGAACGUAGAGGGUGAUAUUCCCGUACACGAAAGGGCACACAUAAUGAUGACGAGUAGGGCGAGGCACGUGAAACCUUGUCUGAAUAUGGGGGGACCAUCCUCCAAGGCUAAAUACUCCUGACUGACCGAUAGUGAACCAGUACCGUGAGGGAAAGGCGAAAAGAACCCCUGUGAGGGGAGUGAAAUAGAUCCUGAAACCGCAUGCAUACAAGCAGUGGGAGCACCUUCGUGGUGUGACUGCGUACCUUUUGUAUAAUGGGUCAGCGACUUAUAUUCAGUAGCAAGGUUAACCGUAUAGGGGAGCCGUAGAGAAAUCGAGUCUUAAUAGGGCGUUUAGUUGCUGGGUAUAGACCCGAAACCAGGCGAUCUAUCCAUGAGCAGGUUGAAGGUUGGGUAACACUAACUGGAGGACCGAACCCACUGUCGUUGAAAAGCCAGGGGAUGACUUGUGGAUAGGGGUGAAAGGCUAAUCAAGCCUGGUGAUAGCUGGUUCUCCCCGAAAGCUAUUUAGGUAGCGCCUCGGACGAAUACCAUAGGGGGUAGAGCACUGUUUCGGCUAGGGGGUCAUCCCGACUUACCAAACCGAUGCAAACUCCGAAUACCUAUGAGUACUAUCCGGGAGACAGACUGCGGGUGCUAACGUCCGUAGUCAAGAGGAAAACAAUCCAGACCGCCAGCUAAGGCCCCAAAAUCAUAGUUAAGUGGGAAACGAUGUGGGAAGGCAUAGACAGCUAGGAGGUUGGCUUAGAAGCAGCCACCCUUUAAAGAAAGCGUAAUAGCUCACUAGUCGAGUCGGCCUGCGCGGAAGAUGUAACGGGGCUAAAA